Molecule: long non-coding RNA, 208 nt
Filed under: Capsicum annuum
Lineage: Eukaryota; Viridiplantae; Streptophyta; Magnoliopsida; Solanales; Solanaceae
Description: long non-coding RNA (CANN_LNC001696)
Source: RNAcentral
GGGGUAUGACUCACCCCUACCAUCUGUAUCCUAGGGUAUGAGUACCCAAAACUAUGCCAAGACCCUACACAUUGGCUUCUAUGCGACUCAACCCUCUCCACUCAUACCUAAGGGUAUGAGUCGUACACCAAAUCGUACCCACAUCUCGUACCUUGGACAUACUUCACAAGACAACUCAAUCAAGCACCAUAAAACUUGCCUUGCACCA